GACGAACGCUGGCGGCGUGCUUAACACAUGCAAGUCGAACGCUGAAGCUUGGUGCUUGCACUGGGUGGAUGAGAGGCGAACGGGUGAGUAAUACGUGAGUAACCUGCCCUUGACUCUGGGAUAAGCCUGGGAAACUGGGUCUAAUACUGGAUACGACAUGUCACCGCAUGGUGGUGUGUGGAAAGGGUUUUACUGGUUUUGGAUGGGCUCACGGCCUAUCAGCUUGUUGGUGGGGUAAUGGCUCACCAAGGCGACGACGGGUAGCCGGCCUGAGAGGGUGACCGGCCACACUGGGACUGAGACACGGCCCAGACUCCUACGGGAGGCAGCAGUGGGGAAUAUUGCACAAUGGGCGGAAGCCUGAUGCAGCGACGCCGCGUGAGGGAUGACGGCCUUCGGGUUGUAAACCUCUUUCAGCACGGAAGAAGCGAAAGUGACGGUACGUGCAGAAGAAGCGCCGGCUAACUACGUG
RNAcentral lists this ribosomal RNA (472 nucleotides) under uncultured bacterium. RNAcentral describes it as "partial 16S ribosomal RNA". It matches the Rfam family "Bacterial small subunit ribosomal RNA", at positions 28 to 507 of the family's 1533-position model. The record is from RNAcentral.